UACGUAGGGUGCGAGCGUUAAUCGGAAUUACUGGGCGUAAAGCGUGCGCAGGCGGUUCGCUGUGUCCGAUGUGAAAGCCCCGGGCUUAACCUGGGAAUGGCAUUGGAAACUGGCGGGCUUGAGUGCGGCAGAGGGGGGUGGAAUUCCGCGUGUAGCAGUGAAAUGCGUAGAGAUCCGGAGGAACACCAGUGGCGAAGGCGACACGCUGGGCCGUACCUGACGCUAAAGCGCGACAGCAUGGGGAGCAAACAGG
RNAcentral lists this ribosomal RNA (253 nucleotides) under uncultured bacterium. Its description in RNAcentral is "partial 16S ribosomal RNA". It matches the Rfam family "Bacterial small subunit ribosomal RNA", at positions 524 to 776 of the family's 1533-position model. The record is from RNAcentral.